GAUGAACGCUGGCGGCGUGCCUAAUACAUGCAGGUCGAGCGAACGGACGAGAAGCUUGCUUCUCUGAUGUUGGCGGCGGACGGGUGAGUAACACGUGGAUAACCUACCUAUAAGACUGGGAUAACUUCGGGAAACCGGAGCUAAUACCGGAUAAUAUUUUGAACAGCAUGGUUCAAAAGUGAAAGACGGUCUUGCUGUCACUUAUAGAUGGAUCCGCGCUGCAUUAGCUAGUUGGUAAGGUAACGGCUUACCAAGGCAACGAUGCAUAGCCGACCUGAGAGGGUGAUCGGCCACACUGGAACUGAGACACGGUCCAGACUCCUACGGGAGGCAGCAGUAGGGAAUCUUCCGCAAUGGGCGAAAGCCUGACGGAGCAACGCCGCGUGAGUGAUGAAGGUCUUCGGAUCGUAAAACUCUGUUAUUAGGGAAGAACAUAUGUGUAAGUAACUGUGCACAUCUUGACGGUACCUACUCAGAAAGCCACGGCUAACUACGUG
This 497-nucleotide ribosomal RNA is filed under the name uncultured bacterium. RNAcentral's name for it is "partial 16S ribosomal RNA". It matches the Rfam family "Bacterial small subunit ribosomal RNA", at positions 28 to 507 of the family's 1533-position model. The record is from RNAcentral.